GCUCCAACCAGCCUGUCUGCUUUUCACAGGGGAGAUUGACUGACACUUGAAUCGCCCUCCUGCUCAAGAUUACAAGGUCGGCUCAAGUCUUGCAGCGAGAUUGGAGCGAGACCAAAGAUGCAGCGGAAGAAUCGUCCAGGAACUCCAUUAUCUCAGCUACAAGGAAUGAGAAAUGGAAUUAAAACACCCAAAACAAGCCUCCUCAUGCUGACCCAGCAACCACAGCCACAUCGAGGGUACACUUUCCCGUGCAGGCCGAUCACAUUCCAUUGUCAGUCAGCCGUGAGGGGAAGCAUCAGAGUGACAAAAG
This is a long non-coding RNA of Notolabrus celidotus (New Zealand spotty), 310 nucleotides long. RefSeq lists it as uncharacterized. Lineage: Eukaryota; Metazoa; Chordata; Actinopteri; Labriformes; Labridae. The record is from RefSeq and is a predicted model, not a curated record. The transcript is spliced from 3 exons.